UGCCAGCAGCCGCGGUAACACGGGGGGCGCAAGCGUUAUUCGGAAUUAUUGGGCGUAAAGGGCGCGCAGGCGGACUUUUAAGUCAGAUGUGAAAUCCCAAGGCUCAACCUUGGAACUGCAUUUGAAACUGGGAGUCUAGAGAUCAGGAGAGGUUAGUGGAAUACCGAGUGUAGAGGUAAAAUCCGUAGAUAUUCGGAGGAACACCAGUGGCGAAGGCGGCUUUCUGGACCGAUACUGACGCUGAGACGCGAAAGCGUGGGGAGCAAACAGGAUUAGAUA
Molecule: ribosomal RNA, 279 nt
Filed under: uncultured bacterium
Lineage: Bacteria
Description: partial 16S ribosomal RNA
Rfam family: Bacterial small subunit ribosomal RNA
Source: RNAcentral